Non-coding RNA from Coturnix japonica (Japanese quail), 850 nucleotides. NCBI's taxonomy places the organism in Eukaryota, Metazoa, Chordata, Aves, Galliformes, Phasianidae. The record is from RefSeq and is a predicted model, not a curated record.
CGGAGUGAGGGGACAGAGGGGGUCGCUGCCCCGCGUAGAUCGGAAAGUGUCGUGAAGUAACUCAGGGAACUGCCGAGAACACGGUGCAGCGUUUCAGGUCAGCUACAGAAAGAAGUGUUUCUGCAGUCUUUUAAAGCAUCUCAACCCUAAUCUGAAGGCACCACCAUCUAGUGGGAUAAGAAGAGAGCCUGCGAUGGAAAAUUGCUCUGAGAGGUGCGGUUGUAUUUCUAGAAAGAGUCAGAAGUUGGGCAACAAUUGGAAAUUCUGCUGUUGUGGAAAUCACCUUAUCAAAGGGCUUUUAUGUUAAUGAAGUAUGAUGUAACUUUCUAGGACUGACAACCACCAAGCUUGGAUCCUGUCUCCAAAAAGAUGAUGCUAAGACUAACAGGAUAAAAAUGGCUUCUAAUGAGUGCAACUUUAUGUGAUUUGUUACCUUCCACCCUGUUUUUUUACUUAAAAUACAACCAGGUUUGACCACCUAUUGUUCUAGUUUUUCACAUCUUCACUCUGUUUGUAGGAAUGCCUGAACUAGAUAACAUGCUUGUCAUGGCCAUGGUGUUGAAAUGUGGGUUUCAAAUCUAUUGGAUGGCUCAGUUGCAUUAUCUUCAGAAGAGAGACUAAAACACAAACAUCUUAUAAAAAUCUCUAAAUACUUUAAUAUUGCUGACCUACAAAACAUUUACAAUAUAAACAUUCUUUUCCUAAACACGUGCAGUUUAAUUAAAGUAUCAGAAGUGCAGUGUGGAUGUCUUAUUUUCUGCACAAAAAAGCUAGUGGUAAUGUGGAGUGUGUACUGUGUCUGGAUUAAUAGAUGAAAGAUAGAUGUUAAAUCAUAAGUGUCCUUUCUGAA